This 369-nucleotide ribosomal RNA is filed under the name uncultured bacterium. RNAcentral describes it as "bacterial SSU rRNA". It matches the Rfam family "Bacterial small subunit ribosomal RNA", at positions 434 to 793 of the family's 1533-position model. The record is from RNAcentral.
UUUCAGCAGUGAGGAAGGUGGGUAUGUUAAUAGCAUAUUCAUUUGACGUUAGCUGCAGAAGAAGCACCGGCUAACUCCGUGCCAGCAGCCGCGGUAAUACGGAGGGUGCGAGCGUUAAUCGGAAUUACUGGGCGUAAAGCGCAUGCAGGUGGUUUGUUAAGUCAGAUGUGAAAGCCCGGGGCUCAACCUCGGAAUUGCAUUUGAAACUGGCAAACUAGAGUACUGUUAGAGGGGGGUAGAAUUUCAGGUGUUAGCGGUGAAAUGCGUAGAGAUCUGAAGGAAUACCGGUGGCGAAGGCGGCCCCCUGGACAGAUACUGACACUCAGAUGCGAAAGCGUGGGGAGCAAACAGGAUUAGAUACCCUGGUAG